GAUGAAGAACGUAGCGAAAUGCGAUAAGUAAUGUGAAUUGCAGAAUUCAGUGAAUCAUCGAAUCUUUGAACGCACCUUGCGCUCCUUGGUAUUCCGAGGAGCAUGCCUGUUUGAGUGUCAUUAAAUUCUCAACCUCACCCAUUUUGUCAUGAAGUGGCUUGUGUAGGCUUGGAUGUGGGGGCUUGCAGGUCCGACCUUCUGGGUUGGUCUGCUCCUCUGAAAUGCAUUAGUGGGUUGUGCCCCUAAUCUAUUGGUGUGAUAAUUAUCUACGCCGUGGAUCAGGAUUGGCGAUCAAUGACCUGCUGACAACCGUCCGUCUCGGACAGCUUUGACAUUUUUGACCUCAGAUCAGGUAAGACUACCCGCUGAACUUAAGCAUAUCAAUAAGCGGAGGA
Molecule: unclassified non-coding RNA, 395 nt
Filed under: soil metagenome
Description: partial contains 5.8S ribosomal RNA, internal transcribed spacer 2, and large subunit ribosomal RNA
Rfam family: 5.8S ribosomal RNA (bases 1-120)
Source: RNAcentral